GCCAGAGGCGGUGGCGCAUGCCUGUAGUCCCAGCUACUCGGGAGGCUGAGGCUGGUGGAUCACUUGAGCCCAGGAGUUCUGGGCUGUAGUGCCCUAUGUCGAUGGGGUGUUUGCACUAAGUUUGGCAUCAAUAUGGUGACCUCCCAGGAGCGGGGGACUCCCAGGUUGCCUAAGGAGGGGUGAACUGGCCCAGGUCAGAAACAGAGCAGGUCAAAACUCCCAUGCAGAUCAGUAGUGGGAUCGCGCCUGUGAAUAGCCACUGCACUCCAGCCUGGGCAACAUAGCAAGACCCGUCUCU
RNAcentral lists this signal recognition particle RNA (298 nucleotides) under Cebus imitator (Panamanian white-faced capuchin). RNAcentral's name for it is "Metazoan signal recognition particle RNA (ENSCCAG00000005377.1)". It matches the Rfam family "Metazoan signal recognition particle RNA". Rfam says of the family: The signal recognition particle (SRP) is a universally conserved ribonucleoprotein. It is involved in the co-translational targeting of proteins to membranes. The eukaryotic SRP consists of a 300-nucleotide 7S RNA and six proteins: SRPs 72, 68, 54, 19, 14, and 9. The record is from RNAcentral. Lineage: Eukaryota; Metazoa; Chordata; Mammalia; Primates; Cebidae.